UCUUCUUAUUUAAAAACUAGCAGCUUUCAUUGGCAGCAGGUGAGAAACACGUGGCUGUGUGAAUAAAGGAGUUCAGCACAUGUGCAUCAGAGCCCACAGCAGGGGUCACCUGGACAUCUGUGAAGGUUAUUAAUGCACAACUAUAGCUGCAGGUUUAAGAGCAGCGCAUGCUGCAGUCAGAACUGUUACCAAUGAAAAGAUCUGCAGCUUCAUGAAGCAGCUGAAAGAUCAAACAGUCCAACAUUUACAAAGUGCUGGUAGAGGUCCAGCUGAAGCAGUACAGAUGUGCUGCUGUCCCACAUUCAGUCAAAAUGAACGAGCUGCAGAUUUUAAAAAUGAGAUUACUGAGAAUAUUUGAAUUGUGACUCAGAUGGCAGAUCCAGGCUCUCAGCCUCCAGCUGAAACUUCCAGUCCUCCCCCAGCCAGAAGCUCUGACGCUGGGCUGAGAGACUUUGAUCCUUCCCUGGAUCCAGAAGUCCAGGAGGGAGAAGGAGAACAGGACCUGCUUCCUGAUCUGGAGAGGCCUGAGGGAAAGAAAGAUGGAGCAGACAGAGCUUUGAACAAACCUCCUGAGCUUCACCUCCACAAAGGUGCAGACACUGAUGCACAGAUUCACAUGUGACACCUGCAGCGUCCAGCUUGUGCCGCUGACAUUAUCUCCACUCUGAUACAAGCCUCAUUCACUCGCUCACACACGUUCAUACAAUCACCUUUUCCUCACAGUCACACACAUGAAUGUAAUGAGGGGAACUCGGGUUCACUGUCAUUCCUCAGGAUCCUUUGAUAUGCAGCCUGGAGGCUCUGUGGAUGAAACCAGCGACUGUCUGAACCACUCGGAAGUCUUCAUGAUGGACUUCAUCCUGAUUAGCACUACAAUACUUGUUACAGGCCUUUUAUAUGGAAGAAUAUUCUUUUCCAUUAAAGCUCUGAACAUUCUCACUCUUUCUGGACCAGGUGUGACAGGUGAAGGACACCGGCGAAUAGGAGGACAGAAACUGAGAGCCAUUAGUCACAUGACUUCAGCUGCUGGCCCCUCGGUGUCUGGUAAAAGGACGAUGCUGCUGUCCAAUGAGGCGAGGAGAGAAGUAGCCAAACAGGCGAGAGCCGUGAAGGAGGAACGGCGGGCAGCUCUGGAUGCCCGACAUAAAUACCUGAUGAGCAGGCUGGCAGACGCCGGCAGCCUGGAGGAGGCGGCGGUGGAAGACGCCAUGGUCUCUGAUGACAGAUUCAGUCUGAUCCAUGAAUUCUUUGCUGCAAACGGAUCCAAGAAGCUGAUUUUCUUCUAUCAGGAUGUCAAACAGAGUCUGUCCUCCCGUCAGUCUUCCUCUGUGGACGCAUCAAACUCAGCUGUGGCUCAGAGGAAACUCUUCCUCACUACGGGGAACUCUGAGGUUGGCUUUGACUUUUCUUUAAGUUAAUGUGAGUCUAAUGUGAGAAUAAGAAAUAAAUGUUGAUAUGAGUGGAAGGUUCUGCUGAUAAAAUAGCAACGAGCAGAUUAUUGAAGAGCGAGGCAGACAGUUGGUUUCAGUAAUGCCAGUUUAUUAGAAACGAGGACUGUGGGGCUGCUGGAAGUCAGGAGGGCCGUUCUCUGGAGAAACCUGACAGCUGAGGUGGAGAGCAGGAUUUAUCCACAGACGCUUCUUCCAAGCAAAUGUCCUGAACACACCUGAGCUGAGUGUUACACAGAAACUGUCUUAAAGCACGAGCCUGGAUCAGACUGGAGGACUCAGAGCUCAGGUGUGUGACGUCACAUUGAUCCACCUCUCGGGGUUUUUGUGUUCUGAUGUAUCUGAUUUUUCUUUAAGCUCCAAACAAUCCCGAGCCUACGAUUCAUCAUUGUCCUGUUCAGAGAUGAUGAGCCUGAGCGUGUUUGUGUUUCCAUGGAUCAAACUGUGCUGCUUUGUUUGGUUAACCAGGUGAUUAAAGUCUCUGAGCAAACACUGGAUGACUGACAGCUGCAGGCUGAACAUCAGGAGGUCGAGAGGCCGAAGUCUGAAGAGCUCAAAGCUCCACAAACACUUAUUCACAGAGAAAAGGACUACAAACAUGGAGGAGCAGCACUCCCAACACGAGCUAAAGGCUACAUGCUAAUAACAUUUCCCCUGGAUGUGGUUUUAACAGGAACAUGAAUGAUGAAGUAUUUAAAGUCAGUUCCAGCGGAGUCGGUGCCGUGUUGGCAGCUCUGAUAUGCAGAAACUUUAAAGCAUGGGACAGGAAUAAAAACACUCCUGUGACGUCAGAGUUUAUGAAUGAUGACAAACUGUUUGUUUUUAGAAACUUUGUUGAUGCUUAAAAUGAUCAGGAAAUAAAAGCUGAAUAGAUCCACGUCAAACAGGAGAAGCUUUGCAGUUUGCAUCAGCUGGGAAACUCGUUCAUAUCCAGUGUUGGGCAAGUUACUUUCAAAUAGUCAUUAAUUAUAG
RNAcentral lists this long non-coding RNA (2420 nucleotides) under Oreochromis niloticus (Nile tilapia). RNAcentral's name for it is "lncRNA (ENSONIG00000037397.1)". Lineage: Eukaryota; Metazoa; Chordata; Actinopteri; Cichliformes; Cichlidae. The record is from RNAcentral.